Molecule: ribosomal RNA, 428 nt
Filed under: Acanthamoeba jacobsi
Lineage: Eukaryota; Discosea; Longamoebia; Acanthamoebidae
Description: SSU rRNA
Rfam family: Eukaryotic small subunit ribosomal RNA
Source: RNAcentral
GACACUUUUCAAGCAGCAGACCAUUCUUCUGCCCCGAAUACAUUAGCAUGGGAUAAUGGAAUAGGACCCUGUCCUCCUAUUUUGCGUGUUGGUUUUCGAGGACCGGGUAAUGAUUAAUAGGGAUAGUUGGGGGCAUUAAUAUUUAAUUGUCAGAGGUGAAAUUCUUGGAUUUAUGAAAGAUUGACUUCUGCGAAAGCAUCUGCCAAGGAUGUUUUCAUUAAUCAAGAACGAAAGUUAGGGGAUCGAAGACGAUCAGAUACCGUCGUAGUCUUAACCAUAAACGAUGCCGACCAGCGAUUAGGAGACGUUGAAUACAAAACACCACCGUCGGGUCGGCCGUCCUUGGCCGUCGUGCGCGGCGACGCGCGCGGCGGCGAGGGCGGUGUCUGCCCGACGGCCCGGUGAAUGACUCCCCUAGCAGCUUGUGG